Long non-coding RNA from Oncorhynchus kisutch (coho salmon), 6338 nucleotides. RefSeq lists it as uncharacterized. The record is from RefSeq and is a predicted model, not a curated record. Lineage: Eukaryota; Metazoa; Chordata; Actinopteri; Salmoniformes; Salmonidae. The transcript has 4 exons.
CUCAGCCAAUGAGCCGUCUCGGCCAAAAACGUGACUUCACGUUAUAUGAGGAAAUAUCUAUUUGAGAUACAACUUUAAGGAAAUAAGGUUAUCUUGUCCAAUCCCAGUCCGUCUUGUAACUCAAACCACAUUCAGGGCCGCUUCCACCACCAGUGACAACAUGGCAAUGCCAAUGGAACUUGAGCUGAAGCAUGUGGAGCUGAGAGCUGGAGACCAGUUCAAAGUACAGGGGAGGAUUAUGGAUUAGAAUGAGGUUCCAGAUCGACCUGGCACUGCACUUUAACCCACGUUUCAAUGAUGACACUGAUGGCACUGUGCUCGUGUGCAACUCAAAGAUUGCCGGCUGCUGGGGGGAUGAGAAGAGAGAGAUCCACAAUCCACUCCAACGGGGUUCUAUAUUCAAGGUGUGAAAAUGUAGGUUGGAAAGAUGGAGGGAGGUGGGUUUGAUCCUGACUAGACAAAUGGAGAAUCUUGGUCAGUGUUUCAGGUGUUCAAUAUAACAGAAACAAUUAGGGCCUAUGUCCAUGUAAUCUCCUGCUAGUAUCGUUUUAAGGAAACGGUGCAGUGUAUUGGCGCUAGUCUUUAGUCCAGCUUGUUCGUUGCAAUUGGCCAUGUGGGUGAAUGUGCUACAACACUAAUGAUGUAAACAAAUGGGGUUUCUCCCUCUCAAGAUUGUACUGAAGCUGAUGGGUGACAUGUUUGAAGUGGAGAUGCCUGAUAGACAGGAGAUCCAGUUCCCCAAUCGUGAGGGCCUAGAUGUCAUUACCUACAUUCGUAUCAAAGGAGACCUCAAACUUAUUUAUUUUAAAAUCUACUAGACCCCAAUAUGAGGGGUGAUUUAGUUUGCUUCUGUCCUAACCCAUUGAUCUAUGACAUUUAUCAAAUCAUUGUUCUAAUAUAUGUAUUAGUGAACUGUUGGACAUAUUAAAUAUGUAUUUGGGUUGACCACAGUCUAUCAUUGUUUAUAUAUUUGUUCCCAUAGUACGGUAUAUUUGUUGCAAUAAUAUUCACAAUCACAUGUACACUAAACACAAGGGUAAUAUGAGGAUGAGGUUAUGGUAUUAUCUGUCAAUCAUUUUGAUUCCUUUACUACUACAAAAAGUGUUGCACCCACAUCUUGGCCAGGUGAAAUAUUGGAGUCAAUAUUGAAUUAUAUUGGUGAGAAAGAGCAAACUAUGUCAUAAUUUCAGAGCAUUUAUUGAGUAUUUGCUUACGGUAAUACAAUACAAAUAGUACAAGGCUUUAUCACUUGACAGGAAAUGUGAUAAAUUGUUCACACUCAAAACAUCUGCAUAUACAUUUUUGAUCCCAAAAUGAGGCCAAUAACUAGGCUUUUUCCUGUUAGUCUAUCAGUUUGAGUUAAAUGAUUGAAUCAAAAUAAGAUGUGUAGUAGGCCUAGCUGAUUAGAAUAGUAAAAGCGGUGCUCUAUUGUACAUUGCCAAGAGGUUUUUCAGUUUCUGACUAUGUUCAUGUUUACAAUGUCAACAUGUUUAAAAUAUCAUGCUUGUGCCAUUAUGUUUGUAUGUUUUUACUAUUUGAGCUCCCCUUAGAUUUACUUUAAGCUUUCAAUAGCUUGCUGUUUUGUGAACUUCCUCCAUUCUAUUGGAAUUUCACCUCUGCCCUGGAAUUUUAGGUCAUAAUACCUUUCCAGAUCUUCUUGAAAUCGACAAACAAACCACUUCCAGUACGGAAGUUCAGAGAGGUCUGGUGUGAUGCUCCAAUCAGCAAAUCUUGGGCCAGCUUUUCUGUAUUCUUUCCAAAGAUAUUUAUCCUCUGAUUCAUGGGAUGGGUAAAACCGGCCAUUACUUGCUACUGAAGUUGUACAAAAAUCAAUGCUAAAUUCUACUGUGUUUCUGAAGUGUAUUCCUUUAAUUCCUUUAGAGCGAUGAAAGGGGACAUUGUGAUCAAUCGGUUUGUGCCCCUCCAUGGUGUUUGUGCAGAUGGCUUUACAGAAGGGACACUGUACCCAGCAGCAAUCACAAAAGUGUUUGAUCAGAAUCUCAUCUGGCCUCUCCCUGAACUGCUUCAUGGCCAGGAGUGAUACAUUGCUGAGGCUUCUGUUGAUCUCUAUGAUUCUGUUGGCGAGAUCUUUCCUUACCUCUUCUUCGAGGAAGUCAAAGUCAGUUAUGUCACAGAAAUCACUGAAAUGAUUUUCAGCAAAUUUCAGCUCAUCUUUUAGAGCACUGGAAAGCUCUCUAAGCCACAUGUUGGUGUCUCCAUUCUUGUUUUUGACUGUCUUUGUUGCUGUAUGCAAUGCAUGGCUCACACGCUGCUCUUUAGCUGUUAUGUUCCCUUCAAUCAAGGCAAGGACUUUGGACCUUUCUGUGAGCAUGUAUUUCUCUACAUCCUCUCUAAUAAAUUUCUCAAAGUGUUUCCGUGGGUUGUGAAUGUAGGUCAUGAACUUGUCAAAGUUCUCCUUCUCCGCCAGUGAUAUCAGGAUGUGUUUCUCCAUGUUAGACCUGUUUCCACUGAAUGGUGGGUGACUUAAUUGCAUUUCUCCAGCCAAGUCAAUGGCCGUCUGGUCAUAGACCGCCUGUACAAUCGAUUCUUUCAGUGUGUUGCAAAUUAACUCCCCAAGCACAGCUGCAGAUGAGGAACCUUUGCAGUAUCUCUUGAAAAUCUUGUUGUACUGUGGCCUCUUCUGCUCCAGGUAAGUAAGGGCAUCAUUGUUGCUUCUGAAUUUGCUAUGGGAAUCUGCUAACUUACUUCCUGCAAGCUCACACACAUGAAGUGAAAGAUCAAUCGUAAACUCCUUUUUGAAUGCAUAUUUUCUAAUCUUUGAUUCAAAUUCCUUCACGCUUUCUUUGACAUGAGUUGCUAUUUCUUGCAUGUAACUGUCAUUGUAUCCCAUCUUUUCUAUGGGCUUUGUCUCGAUUAUCAUCUGGCUUUGUUCGUCAACAUCAUUGGUGAAUUCUCUUAUCAAUUCAUGAUCUGUGUAUGUUAGAAUGUUGCUUGGACCAAUGUGGUCAAUUGUCUUGUUCUCUGGAGACUUAAACCCCCAAAAACUCUUAAAAGCACCCCACACAUUAUUUUUCUGAAAUUGGUCCUUGUUUGGCUUCCUUUGAGCAUCUCUUGAGUGCUGAUCGUCUUUAAAAAGAUCUUGGUGCUUGGAUACAAUUGCAUAGUUCGAAUAACUCCCCAAGGUACAAAUCUCACGGUACAUUCCGCAACUUUUCCGAUCAUGUACAAGAGACAAUUCAUAACCUAUCUCUCCAAGGAUACAAGUCACAUCAUCCAAUAUGUUUAUGUCCAUAAUGGAAGGUGUAUCAUUGGUCAACUCGGCAACCCACACCCCCCAAAGAGUAUUGAAUUCAUUCUCAAGUUGUUUUUCAUCCUUUGCCUUGUCCUUCAGUUUUGAGGCAAGUUCUUUGCUCUUUUGGAAGAGCUUGUUUUCAUACUGUGUCUUCUUGUCAUCCAGCUUUUUGCGCGCAUCCCUCUGCUGAAUAACCUCCUCUAACUUUCUUUUUGCUCCCUUCACAAGUUCAUCAUGAAACUCACACAUUUUGGUUUGAAAUCUCCCUCGCCACUGAAUCAACAUUUCUUUAUCUCUGUCUUCAUCAAAGUACUUUUCCAUUGAUUUGUUCACUUCUUCACGGGUCUUUCUCAUUUCUUCAACAAGGUUAUGUCUCUCAACCCUGUGAAGUUUUCCAUUUUCAAUUCGAUUGUGCAGUUGAUUUUCAAUGGUUAGCAUGGCACUCCUGAGAGCCCAGAUCCAUUUUCCAUACUGAAUCUCAAGUUUUCUGUAAACUGCAAUUUCUAGUGUGUUUUUGAAGCUGAACACAAAGUUUUCAUUCAGCAGUGCAUUCCAAAGGUCUUGGAUACUGCUUUUGAACUGUGAUAAUGUCAUGCCAAAAGACGUUGGUGUUUUAGAGAGGAUUGUUUUCCUUAGCUCCUGGACAUUCUCACUGUAGCAUGGGUUUGGUGGGGCCAUGGGUGGGCUGCCCUCCCACAGCUGGGAAAAGUAUUUCACAUCUCUUUGGAUGUCAAAUGCAAUGACAUCGCUGAAACACUCUGCAUUACUGUCCUCUUCUUUGGCAGCUAACUGGGUCAUCUCGUCUAGUUUGUCCUGUAAGCGCCUCUUUCCCUCCAUGUUUUUCUCUCCGGCCGUGAUGUCUCCAACAUUCUGGUGCACAAACACACAACUUGGAGACAGAUUAACUUUCUUCAUCCUCAUGAAGGCCUGAACAGCUAUCUGAAUGAUGUCCUGCAUCUCAGCAGGAUUCUCUCCAAAUAUGUUGAUCAAGGUCAUGUUUCCAAGGCCAAUGACAAAAGUUGCAAGUUCAUUGUCAUGGUGCACUGUUGCCUUUCCUGCCAACUCUAAAGCUCGAAGUCCCUCAGUGUCAACAACGAGAACAUAGUCAAACCUAAAGUCAUCUUUCAUCUCCUCUGUCACUUUCACCAGUUGCAUGAAAGCACCUCUGGUACACCUACCAGCACUUACUGCGAAUUGCAGUCCAAACAUUGCAUUCAGCAUUGUAGAUUUCCCAGUGCUCUGGAUUCCCAAAAUGGACAAAACAAAAACUCUCUGAUCUCCUAGUUUCUUGAUAACUUCAUCUAAAACCCCAUUAAUCCACAUCAGUGGCACAUGAGCUGCAUCACCAUCCAUUAGUUCCAUUGGGUGUCCCGAUAUCAUAAGUUCUGCCGCGAGCUCUGGAAGGUAAGACACGGUCACCUCACUUUCUCCUUUGCUUUGCCUGGCCACAGAUGCAUGGGCUUCAUAGAUCUGUCCCAUUUCCCUCAGAAUGUGUUCAAAUCCGAAGGUUGCUGCUUGCAGCUUCUCUGAUAUUUUUUCCAGCUCCAUUUGUCUCAUUUUCAGUUGCUCUGAUUUAUCAUGCUUCUUUUUCAAAGCCAGGACCUCGGACCACUUUUCAUCAUAUUUGUGAUGAAGGUCUGAGAGCUCAUCUGAGGACAGGUCAUCCAGUAGUAUCCCUACCCACUUGAGGAAAUAUGAUUUUUCUUUUUCUCCCAGAGAUCGUAGACUUGUGAUAAACAUCUGCAUGAGUUCAGUAAAGGCAACUUGAUGUUGAUGGUGUCGAAUUUGCAUCAUUUCAUGUUCUAUUUUACUUCUUUCCAUCUCUAGAUUCCCUUGGAGACGAUAAAGGUCUUUAUUUUUUUGACACCAAUCAUGCCACAGCCUACCUUGACAUGGAAGAAAUUCUUCUUUGAUCUUGGACAGUUCCAUUUCCUUUAGCAGAUCUGUUAUCUGCAGAGCAUUAGUCUUCCCUACUUGGCAAUCUUCAUCAUUCUCAUCUACUCUAAACCCUGAGUACUCUGCCAUGUCCUCAAGUUUGAAGGAGCAACAUGGUCUUGACAAAUGAUUUCUAAUGAUCCUUUUUAGUUCCUCAGACACAUCUGACUGGUUUCUGUCUCUCAAACCCAUUUUGUACUUUCCCUUUUUAAUUUCAGUUGCAACAGAAUCCUCUUCAGUGAGCAGACAUAUCAGAGGUUUAGAAGACUUGAACAGCUCCUGCACGAUUGCCAUACUUUUGUCGCCUUUUCCAAGACUUGGUAAAAGGAUAACAUUGACUGAGGCUUUUUCAAUCAGUCUGUCACGCUGAAUUUCUUUCGCAAUUGCGUCACCAUGGAGAUUACAGAAUGCAACACAAUCAGUGAAAAUAUCAUUGGGCUUCCCAGCAGGACAAUACCAUGCAAUCUCUACCACCCCAUCCAUUAGGAGGCAGGUUUUACUGCUUCCUGGACAGUGUCUGUGGAAGAAUGUGCUGUGACGUUGGUUGAUCAGGUUGCUCAUCAGCUGGGAUUUAGAUGAGGACACAGAACCAAGCCUAAAGAAUGACACCAUUGGUGUUUCUGCCUUGUAAAUAGGCAUACUUUGGCUGGUGACUAUAUUAGAGUCAUUGGUGGACUUCCAGGUUUUUCUGAUUUGUCGAAAUGUCCACAAAGGGCAUUCAAUCUCUUUGGUGAAUGGAUUUGGCACAAGCAAAGGCAAGGCAUACUGACACAAGGACAGCUUUGUGACCAUGAACUGCCGAAGGAAACUGUCUGAACAGUGAAACACUGCCAUCUGGACGUCCAUUGGGUGAACAUGCGUGUUCCUCUUUAAAUCACCAGAGACUGUGUUCUUGUUGAAAAGGGCAUCGAAGGCACUUUCUUCUGUUUCUGCAUUAUCAUUUCUGUUGUCAUUUGCAUCAUGCAUCUCACUAUUCUCAUCUCUUACAGGAAUGUACCUGGCUCUGUAGUCCAGCAUCAAUAACCUUUGUAGGAAAGUAUGAGCAAGUUUGUUCUCUGUUUGGGGUUCAUGUUGAUGUUGAGUAGAAGAGCCAAUGUUCAGGAAGUCUGCAGUUGUCAACUUAUCUUGAUAUUUAUCUUGAAGGUGAAGU